UACGUAGGGUGCGAGCGUUAAUCGGAAUUACUGGGCGUAAAGCGUGCGCAGGCGGUUUGCUAAGACCGAUGUGAAAUCCCCGGGCUUAACCUGGGAACUGCAUUGGUGACUGGCAGGCUAGAGUAUGGCAGAGGGGGGUAGAAUUCCACGUGUAGCAGUGAAAUGCGUAGAGAUGUGGAGGAAUACCGAUGGCGAAGGCAGCCCCCUGGGCCAAUACUGACGCUCAUGCACGAAAGGCGUGG
This 242-nucleotide ribosomal RNA is filed under the name uncultured bacterium. RNAcentral describes it as "partial 16S ribosomal RNA". It matches the Rfam family "Bacterial small subunit ribosomal RNA", at positions 524 to 765 of the family's 1533-position model. The record is from RNAcentral.